GAUGAACGCUGGCGGUAUGCUUAACACAUGCAAGUCGAACGGACUCUUCGGAGUUAGUGGCGGACGGGUGAGUAACGCGUGAGAAUCUGGCUUUGGGUUCGGGACAACCACUGGAAACGGUGGCUAAUACCGGAUGUGCCGAGAGGUAAAAGAGAAAUUGCCUGAAGAUGAGCUCGCGUCUGAUUAGCUAGUUGGUGAGGUAAAGGCUCACCAAGGCAGCGAUCAGUAGCUGGUCUGAGAGGAUGACCAGCCACACUGGGACUGAGACACGGCCCAGACUCCUACGGGAGGCAGCAGUGGGGAAUUUUCCGCAAUGGGCGAAAGCCUGACGGAGCAAUACCGCGUGAGGGAAGAAGGCUCUUGGGCUGUAAACCUCUUUUCUUAGGGAAGAACAAAAGGACGGGACCGAAGGAAGCAGCAUCGGCUAACUCCGU
RNAcentral lists this ribosomal RNA (434 nucleotides) under uncultured bacterium. Its description in RNAcentral is "partial 16S ribosomal RNA". It matches the Rfam family "Bacterial small subunit ribosomal RNA", at positions 28 to 506 of the family's 1533-position model. The record is from RNAcentral.